GACGAACGCUGGCGGCGUGCCUAACACAUGCAAGUGGAGCGACGAACCAGGCUUCGGCCUGGGGCAAAGCCGCGAACGGGUGAGUAACACGUGGGUAACCUGCCCUGAUGAUUGGGACAACCCGAGGAAACUCGGGCUAAUACCAAAUGUGCCCUUCGGCCAUAAGGCCGCCGGGGAAAGGAAGCUUCGGCCUCCGCAUCUGGAUGGGCCCGCGGCCCAUUAGCUUGUUGGUGAGGUAACGGCUCACCAAGGCGACGAUGGGUAGCUGGUCUGAGAGGACGAUCAGCCACACUGGGACUGAGACACGGCCCAGACUCCUACGGGAGGCAGCAGUGGGGAAUCUUGCGCAAUGCGCGAAAGCGUGACGCAGCAACGCCGCGUGGGGGAAGAAGGCCU
Molecule: ribosomal RNA, 396 nt
Filed under: uncultured bacterium
Lineage: Bacteria
Description: bacterial SSU rRNA
Rfam family: Bacterial small subunit ribosomal RNA
Source: RNAcentral